GACGAACGCUGGCGGCGUGCCUAAUACAUGCAAGUGAAGUUCAGUGGCGAACAGGUGAGUAAUAAGUGGGUAACAUGCCCUCAUUAUUGGGAUAAGCCUUGGAAACGGGGUCUAAUACCGAAUAAAGGGGGAUGGGCUCGCGGCCGAUCGGCUUGUUGGGGGGGUGAUGGCCUACCACGGCGGUGACGGGUAGCCGGCGUGUGAGGGUGACCGGACAGAUUGGGAGUUAGAGACGCCCAAGAGUGCUACGGGAGGAAGAGUGGGGGGAUAUUGCACAAGGGGCGAAAGCCUGAUGCAGGGAUGCCGCGUGGGGGAUGAAGGCUUGCGGUUUGUAAACCUCUUUCGAUAUCGAACGGUUAGGUGGAGAAGAAGCGCCGGCUAACUACGUGCCAGCAGCCGCGGUAAUUC
RNAcentral lists this ribosomal RNA (408 nucleotides) under uncultured bacterium. RNAcentral's name for it is "partial 16S ribosomal RNA". It matches the Rfam family "Bacterial small subunit ribosomal RNA", at positions 28 to 526 of the family's 1533-position model. The record is from RNAcentral.